RNAcentral lists this ribosomal RNA (427 nucleotides) under uncultured Alphaproteobacteria bacterium. RNAcentral's name for it is "bacterial SSU rRNA". It matches the Rfam family "Bacterial small subunit ribosomal RNA", at positions 888 to 1312 of the family's 1533-position model. Lineage: Bacteria; Pseudomonadati; Pseudomonadota; Alphaproteobacteria. The record is from RNAcentral.
GCAAGGCUAAAACUAAAAGGAAUUGGCGGGGACCCACACAAGCGGUGGAGCAUCUGGUUUAAUUCGAUAUUAGCCGAAAAACCUUACCAUCCCUUGCAUGUUUGUAGCGGAGUUUCUUAAAGAGAGCUCUUCCUUCGGGAGGCAUUCACAGGUGAUGCAUGGUUGUCGUCACCUCGUGUCGUGAGAUGUUGGGUUAAGUCCCUUAACGAGCGAAACCCUCUUUCUUAUUUGCUAGCAGGUAAUGCUGAGAACUAUAAGAAGACUGCCCGUGAUAAACGGGAGGAAGGUGAGGAUGCUGUCAAACCAUCAUGUCCCUUAUGGGAUGGGCUACACCGGUGCUACAAUGGGGUGUACAAAGUGUUGCAAUGUCGCUAACACGGAGCCAAUCACUAAAGCACUCCUCAGUACGGAUUGAGGCUCUGCAAUU